Molecule: ribosomal RNA, 253 nt
Filed under: uncultured bacterium
Lineage: Bacteria
Description: partial 16S ribosomal RNA
Rfam family: Bacterial small subunit ribosomal RNA
Source: RNAcentral
UACGUAGGGGGCAAGCGUUAUCCGGAUUUACUGGGUGUAAAGGGAGCGUAGACGGUUAUGCAAGUCUGGAGUGAAAGCCCGGGGCUCAACCCCGGGACUGCUUUGGAAACUGUAAAACUGGAGUGCAGGAGAGGCAGGCGGAAUUCCUAGUGUAGCGGUGAAAUGCGUAGAUAUUAGGAGGAACACCAGUGGCGAAGGCGGCCUGCUGGACUGUAACUGACGUUGAGGCUCGAAGGCGUGGGGAGCAAACAGG